This 252-nucleotide unclassified non-coding RNA is filed under the name fungal sp. RNAcentral describes it as "partial internal transcribed spacer region". The stretch from base 1 to 46 matches the Rfam family "Eukaryotic small subunit ribosomal RNA", at positions 1786 to 1831 of the family's 1831-position model. The record is from RNAcentral. Lineage: Eukaryota; Fungi.
AAGUCGUAACAAGGUUUCCGUAGGUGAACCUGCGGAAGGAUCAUUAUUGAGUUAUAAAAUUAAUAUGCUUUGCAUUUUUAAUUUUUAAAUCUCUUUACCCUUUUGUUAACCAUUCUUAGUUGCUUUGGUAGAUUGUUAUACAACUACCAGAGAAAUCUUAAUAAACACUUUGUUAUCCAAUAAUUAAGGAACCUUUUGUCUGAUUUUAUUACUUAAUGUAUAAAACUUUUAACAACGGAUCUCUUGGUUCUG